RNAcentral lists this ribosomal RNA (467 nucleotides) under uncultured bacterium. Its description in RNAcentral is "partial 16S ribosomal RNA". It matches the Rfam family "Bacterial small subunit ribosomal RNA", at positions 28 to 506 of the family's 1533-position model. The record is from RNAcentral.
GACGAACGCUGGCGGCGUGCUUAACACAUGCAAGUCGAACGGAAAGGCCCUGCUUUUGUGGGGUGCUCGAGUGGCGAACGGGUGAGUAACACGUGAGUAACCUGCCCUUGACUUUGGGAUAACUUCAGGAAACUGGGGCUAAUACCGGAUAGGAGCUCCUGCUGCAUGGUGGGGGUUGGAAAGUUUCGGCGGUUGGGGAUGGACUCGCGGCUUAUCAGCUUGUUGGUGGGGUAGUGGCUUACCAAGGCUUUGACGGGUAGCCGGCCUGAGAGGGUGACCGGCCUCAUUGGGACUGAGAUACGGCCCAGACUCCUACGGGAGGCAGCAGUGGGGAAUAUUGCACAAUGGGCGGAAGCCUGAUGCAGCAACGCCGCGUGCGGGAUGACGGCCUUCGGGUUGUAAACCGCUUUCGCCUGUGACGAAGCGUGAGUGACGGUAAUGGGUAAAGAAGCACCGGCUAACUACGU